The sequence is a small nucleolar RNA, 71 nucleotides long. Its record names the gene SNORD34. It matches the Rfam family "Small nucleolar RNA SNORD34". From Rfam's summary of the family: snoRNA U34 is found in intron 5 of the ribosomal protein L13a gene in humans. U34 is a member of the C/D class of snoRNA which contain C (UGAUGA) and D (CUGA) box motifs, and functions in directing site-specific 2'-O-methylation of 25S rRNAs. The record is from Ensembl.
UUGCUUCCGUGAUGGUCCACAAUUACCUACAUUGUUGGAUCCUCAUGAAAACAGCACUGGCUGAAAAAAAA